Molecule: transfer RNA, 98 nt
Filed under: Trichophyton mentagrophytes
Lineage: Eukaryota; Fungi; Ascomycota; Eurotiomycetes; Onygenales; Arthrodermataceae
Description: tRNA-Asp
Rfam family: tRNA
About the family: Transfer RNA (tRNA) molecules are approximately 80 nucleotides in length. Their secondary structure includes four short double-helical elements and three loops (D, anti-codon, and T loops). Further hydrogen bonds mediate the characteristic L-shaped molecular structure. tRNAs have two regions of fundamental functional importance: the anti-codon, which is responsible for specific mRNA codon recognition, and the 3' end, to which the tRNAs corresponding amino acid is attached (by aminoacyl-tRNA synthetases). tRNAs cope with the degeneracy of the genetic code in two manners: having more than one tRNA (with a specific anti-codon) for a particular amino acid; and 'wobble' base-pairing, i.e. permitting non-standard base-pairing at the 3rd anti-codon position.
Source: RNAcentral
UCCUUGAUGGUCUAGUGGUCAUGAUUUCCGCUUGUCAAACUCGCUUAGUAAGCGAGUAACAAGCGCGGGAGACCGGGGUUCGAUUCCCCGUCAGGGAG